UCCUGUACUGCACAUAAACAGGAGCCUGCUCCACUUAGUUGGCAGCUGCAUACGGGGAGGGCUGUGGGUUGUCAUUGUUAUUGCCAUAAUACUGUGUGUAAAGAUAUCAGCCUGUACUGAGACCCAGUUAGGCUGUCAGCACAGCAAGCUGGAGGCCCCUGGAGAAGCAGAAAGACAGAUGACUUGCCUGCAGUUAAACAUAAGUCAGUGGCAAAAAAUAGUACCUGGUCUCUGGAAUGAACAACCAGCAUGGGAUCAACUCUUCUUGUCUUGUGCUUCCUGCCGCUUGCAGAUGGAUGUGACGGAUGGAGAGCUGAAUUGAGAUCUGUUGGGUCUAAUUGAGCCUUAAUUAUAAUACAUUAAACAAUUAAAAUAAUGAAGAUCAGGCACAAUCAAUUCUCAAUACAAAGAGAUUUAGCAAGAUUAGGCUUUUAAAACUGUACAGAUGAUGCCAUUAAUCUUGGAAGAGCUCCAAUGUAAACAAUACAAUUCCCAGACAGCUGGGAGGGCAGCAAACCAGAGGUAAGAUCAGAUUCCCAGCAAAAAGUGUAAGGGUAGAUAGAUUUUUUUUACCUCCAUUUUACAGCUUUUACAUGAAAGCAAAAUACUGUACAUAUCAAAACACAUAUAACAUGAUUUGAGUAAUAGGAAUUGUGGAUUUCAGGAAAGCAGCUUGCAAUGUGUGGUGAAUUAUGUAUGCUACUGUACUUCUCGUUUAUAUGUCUGAGAGUUAUGCAGUUAGUUAUUUAUAUUAACUUUGGCACUGAGGAGGAUGGCUCUUGCUGAACCCUGGGAGCAGAAGAUGCUCUUUGUCCGUGAAGCAGGUAGAGCACUGUGAGAGAUGAGAGGGGACUUUGGGCCCCACGCUUGUUCCUUUCCUGACCUCUCUGGGGAUCUCAUCAUCACUUUUAUCAGCAGGAAUGCAUUUAUGGCACUUUGUCAUUGGUGAGAAAAACCUGCUGUGUGAAGCUGGGCUCCCCCUGGAACUCCAAAGCUGAUGGAAGGAAGGUCCUGGAGCCUGGGCACAAAGCAACCCAAAGCUGUUUGUGAGGGGCAGAGUGAGGUGUGAAGCUGUAAUGGGAGAGUGGGUAAAUGUGACCAAAAGCCCGGCCUGGAGUUCACAGGUAAAAUGAUUUUACCAGAAAAGGAAAUUCUUUUUAAAAAAGCCAAGGAACAAAGACAUUUGAGGCAUCCUCUGGGAAAUAAGGAUGAGCAAUCUGACUGUGGGUUUUCUUUGUAUAAUCGAACGCUGUAUUCCUGGAGGGAUCUUUUUAUUUGGUUCUUUGCUCUCUCUGAUUCCUCUCGACAAUGUACACAAAAUGCAGCACAGAAGAGAGAGAGUCAGGGGGAGAUAACAGGGUACUGAGAGAAUGUAAUUAGUAAGUCCUUGUGGCACUGAGGGGGACUAUGGAGGGUGAGGAGCAAAAACAGAUCCUCCCGAUGUCUGAAUGUAUUAAACUUUUCAUCAAAGAAAGGCCAAAGAGGCACCAAAAGCAGUUGAUAAUUUUAGGAAACCUACAAAAGUGUGUUAGGCAAUACAUUCUCUUUUCUCUUUUCAUUUCACCGUAGGAAAACUUAGUGCUGCACCACUUUCAAGCAGGAGAAUUUGGGCCAAGGAUUUAGCAACGGACAUCUGAAGAACUCAGAAAAAGCAAGGGAUGGGGAAAACAGAACAAAGGAAGAGACUGGCUCCCUUUCACAGCAACCUUCUUUCACAGCUCCUCAGCAGACACAGACAACUACCUUCACAUGCGAGAUGUACAUCUUGUACGUAACCACAGGAGAAAAGCCUCUAUCAAAAGAAGAAACAAGCCAGUAGGUGGCUGAUACCAGAAAACAGAAGCAAGAUGUCAGCAUGUUCAAUGGCUGCGUUCUCCUGAGUGAAGGAAAAGUACCUGGGAAAGCAAUGAGAGGAGAGAUGAGGAGCUGCCUGCAGCAGAGAGAACAGCUGGCUAGAAGAGAACAUAUCAGGACAACUGCCAGCAUACUGAGCGAGAGGUGUUGGGAGUGUUUGUUGUUCACACUCACCAACCUGAUGUGAUUUAUUGUGCUUUUAUUUCAUCUUCCUUCAGAGAUGUUAUGUCUGUUUAAAUACAGUUUUCACUCUGUUGCUCACUACUGGAGAUGCUUCACUCAAGGAGGCCCAGGUAAUACAAUGCAACUUCUUCCUGGAAGCCCAAAAUGAUGUUUAAAUGACAUUCUGCAAAGACUGUAAAAAUGGAACACAACCUCUGCCUCGUUAGUCAGUUUGUGGCAGAACAGCAGGAAAGCCUGUCUGAACUUGAAUCUUAUUGCUGUAUUUAGACGUAUUUUUUCACGGUGAAGACGUAGCCUUGGAGUCCAUCAUCCCAGAAUAGAAGAGCAUGUCAAAAACACUUCUAAGGUAUGAUUUGUUCAUUAGUCUGUGAUCAUACUCUAGGGAAGACAAAGCAGUACAACCUUUUCAAUACAAGGGAAAUAUUUCCUAUUUCCUAAAUUUGGGGUUUUAAAUUGAGUUUACUUUAGCCAAAUGGGGAGUCCAUCACACUGCAGGGGCCAGCAGAGCAUGGUGGGGUUGUUAAAAAUGUAUUUAAAUCUAUGCUAAACUCAUUGAAUUUUACUGGUUUCAGCAGCCACCUUUCUGAAAAAACUGUGUUUCAACACAUUCAAAAUGAAACCUUAUAUUUUUUUCACAUCAAAAAACCCUCUCCUUUCAAGUCUUACCUACACUUAUUUUAGUGAAAAUCAGCUGAUCUCCCCAAAAUAGAACAUGUCUUUUGCCAUUGUGCACAGCUCCCAUGUUUUGUUUCUUUGCUGGCUUUCACUUUUACCAUGAGGGGUAAAAAAGCCCUCAGUCCAGAGCAGCCACAGGCCUUCUGGCUCUUUAUCCAUUGGGCGAAAGCAAAAACUCAGUAAUCUGUGAAGAUGGGCAAAACCGAGGGUGUUCAUCCAUUGUGGGCAGGCAAUGCUGCUUCUCUCACAGAAGCAGAGAGCACACCAUCAAACAAGGACUUGGAGAGCCCUCAUUAACACCUCUAUGGAGUGCUGAUUAAUUGGGUUAAUUGGCAGUCUGAGCCAUGAAACACAAUGUCAUGCUCAGGGCUGGCCUGGAAGAAUGAGACCUGGUAGGGUGCAAGUGGCUCUGGCCAUUAUGGCCUCCUGACCUUUCAAAAGCUUCCCCAGCCUUGAACUGGGAAGGUCAGGGCCCACUGCCAACCAAGGGCAGCACAAGGGGCUGGAGCAGCUGGUGGGCACCAGGACAUGGCAGGCUAGGCUGGUGAGCAGAGCAUUGACCUGAGAGGGGAGGAGACCAGGAAGGUGAUGGCCAUCCCAUUUUCAGGAGGAGAAGGGCACCGAGCUGUGACCUUGGUACAUGUGAGGACCUGUCCUUUGUAGGUCAUUAUAGGAAUUACAUAAGGUGAAACCAGUGCUUUCAGAUUGCUGUCAUGCACUCAAAUAAAAUCAG
This is a long non-coding RNA of Lagopus muta (rock ptarmigan), 3445 nucleotides long. RefSeq lists it as uncharacterized. NCBI's taxonomy places the organism in Eukaryota, Metazoa, Chordata, Aves, Galliformes, Phasianidae. The transcript is spliced from 3 exons. The record is from RefSeq and is a predicted model, not a curated record.